UUGUGUUUGAUCCUGGCUCAGAUUGAACGCUGGCGGCAUGCCUUACACAUGCAAGUCGAACGGCAGCACGGGGGCAACCCUGGUGGCGAGUGGCGAACGGGUGAGUAAUACAUCGGAACGUGUCCUGGAGUGGGGGAUAGCCCGGCGAAAGCCGGAUUAAUACCGCAUACGCUCUGAGGAGGAAAGGGGGGGAUCGCAAGACCUCUCGCUCAAGGGGCGGCCGAUGGCAGAUUAGGUAGUUGGUGGGGUAAAGGCCUACCAAGCCGACGAUCUGUAGCUGGUCUGAGAGGACGACCAGCCACACUGGGACUGAGACACGGCCCAGACUCCUACGGGAGGCAGCAGUGGGGAAUUUUGGACAAUGGGCGCAAGCCUGAUCCAGCAAUGCCGCGUGUGUGAAGAAGGCCUUCGGGUUGUAAAGCACUUUUGUCCGGAAAGAAAACUUCUGUCCUAAUACGGCGGGGGGAUGACGGUACCGGAAGAAUAAGCACCG
Molecule: ribosomal RNA, 493 nt
Filed under: bacterium PN34
Lineage: Bacteria
Description: bacterial SSU rRNA
Rfam family: Bacterial small subunit ribosomal RNA
Source: RNAcentral